UCCUACGGGGGGCAGCAGUAGGGAAUAUUGCACAAUGGGGGAAACCCUGAAGCAGCAACGCCGCGUGGAGGAUGAAGGUUUUCGGAUUGUAAACUCCUUUUGUUAGAGAAGAUAAUGACGGUAUCUAACGAAUAAGCACCGGCUAACUCCGUGCCAGCAGCCGCGGUAAUACGGAGGGUGCAAGCGUUACUCGGAAUCACUGGGCGUAAAGAGCGCGUAGGCGGGAUAGCAAGUCAGAUGUGAAAUCCUAUGGCUUAACCAUCGAACUGCAUUUGAAACUGUUCUUCUAGAGUAUGGGAGAGGUA
RNAcentral lists this ribosomal RNA (305 nucleotides) under uncultured bacterium. RNAcentral describes it as "bacterial SSU rRNA". It matches the Rfam family "Bacterial small subunit ribosomal RNA", at positions 337 to 659 of the family's 1533-position model. The record is from RNAcentral.